Molecule: small RNA, 93 nt
Filed under: Chelonoidis abingdonii (Abingdon island giant tortoise)
Lineage: Eukaryota; Metazoa; Chordata; Testudines; Testudinidae
Description: TUC338 (ENSCABG00000006703.1)
Source: RNAcentral
CAAAACAGGUACAGCAAAGGCAGCAGCAGUACAAGUUUCCCCAAACUUCCUUGCCAACAGGCCUCCAAUCUGACUGGAAGAACCACUUCUAGG